UUAUUAAUAAGAUCUGCUCAAUGAAAAAUUAAAUAGCCGCAAUUAGUGCUAAGGUAGCAUAAUCAUUUGUCUUUUAAAUGAAGACUAGAACAAAAGAUCUAACAUUUUAAUCUAUUUCUUUAUUAAAAUAUUCCAAAUUCUCUUAAAUGUAAAAAGACAUUUAUAAAAAAGAAAGACGACAAGACCCUAUUGAACUUAACUUUAGUUUUACUGGGGCAGUUAAUUAAUUAUUAUUUUAAUAUAAAUAAUAUUUUAAUUAUCCAAUAAUAUCGAAUCAUCCAGUUACCAUAGGGAUAACAGUGCAAUUAAAUUUUAGAGUUCUUAUCUAAAAUAUAGAUUACAACCUCGAUGUUGAAUUAAUAACCUAAUUUAAAGCAACUUUUAAAAAAGGAAGUCUGUUCGACUUUUAAAAAAUUACAUGAUUUGAGUUCAGACCGGUAUAAGCCAGGUCGGUUUCUAUCUUCUAAAGAAUUUCUUAUAGUACGAAAGGGCCUAAGAAUAUAAUUAAAUUUAUUAAUUGGCAGAAAAAUGCAUUAGAAUUAGAAUCUAAUAAAACUAUU
This 560-nucleotide ribosomal RNA is filed under the name Ecuadattus pichincha. RNAcentral's name for it is "partial 16S ribosomal RNA". The stretch from base 170 to 465 matches the Rfam family "Bacterial large subunit ribosomal RNA", at positions 2074 to 2646 of the family's 2925-position model. The record is from RNAcentral. Lineage: Eukaryota; Metazoa; Arthropoda; Arachnida; Araneae; Salticidae.